GAUAGGAAUAUCACACAAUGAAACAGAGAUGGACAAGGAUUUCACCUUGAAAUACAUCAGUGAUAACUUACUAGAGGAAAGGGAUCGUCUGUUCCCGUUAAUGCUUCAAUACAAGGCAAUGGACCUGAAAUGAGCUAACUAGAAAUGACCGCUGUUUGACGGUAGCGUUGUUUUAGUUUUACAUUUCUUCGAGACACGGAUAGGCUGCCCUACUCGUUUUGCAUCACUCAGUUGGAAUUAUUUAUUCUCUUUAUUUGGCCAGCUGUGCACUAAUAAAACAGGUUUGGGAUUGUUGAUUGCUGGUUAUAGGAAUCGGCAAUAACGUCGAAAAGUCGGACACGAGGACCUACAAAUACAGCUUGUAAAUGAACAAUAAGCAAAAAAGACACUAGCAAAUACUGCUUUGUUACUUUUUACUGUUUCAUCUCCUAGCAAACAAUUGGUAUACACAAUAAUUAAAGGAUAAUUAUUAUUGAUGAAA
Actinia tenebrosa (Australian red waratah sea anemone) is the source of this 481-nucleotide long non-coding RNA. Lineage: Eukaryota; Metazoa; Cnidaria; Anthozoa; Actiniaria; Actiniidae. The record is from RefSeq and is a predicted model, not a curated record.